GUGUGUGUGUGUAUGUUGGCUGUGUGCUCCUUACAGAGCUUUACUUCUUCUUGUACCUAUAAUUUCUCUUUCCUAUCGUGAGAUCUUAAAUGACUUUUGAUCCCUAAAAUACGUUUAAAGAGCUGAUCACAUAUACUGCAGCAAUG
Molecule: long non-coding RNA, 146 nt
Organism: Octopus sinensis (East Asian common octopus)
Lineage: Eukaryota; Metazoa; Mollusca; Cephalopoda; Octopoda; Octopodidae
Exons: 3
Source: RefSeq, a predicted model, not a curated record